This 450-nucleotide ribosomal RNA is filed under the name uncultured bacterium. RNAcentral's name for it is "partial 16S ribosomal RNA". It matches the Rfam family "Bacterial small subunit ribosomal RNA", at positions 338 to 795 of the family's 1533-position model. The record is from RNAcentral.
CCUACGGGGGGCUGCAGUGGGGAAUUUUGCGCAAUGGGCGAAAGCCUGACGCAGCGACGCCGCGUGAGGGAAGAAGGUCUUCGGAUCGUAAACCUCUGUCGGAGGGGAAGAAACUACGGGGUGCUAAUACCACUCCGUAUUGACGGUACCCUCUGAGGAAGCAUCGGCUAACUACGUGCCAGCAGCCGCGGUAAUACGUAGGAUGCAAGCGUUGUUCGGAGGUGCGUGGUGUAAAGGGCCCGUAACGGGUGAAAGCCCCCGGCUCAACCGGGGAAUUGCCCGUGAUACUACCAAGCUCGAGUACGGGAGAGGGAAGUGGAAUUCCUGGUGUAGCGGUGAAAUGCGUAGAUAUCAGGAGGAACACCGGUGGCGAAGGCGGCUUCCUGGACCGAUACUGACGCUGAGGCGCGAAAGCGUGGGUAGCAAACAGGAUUAGAUACCCGGGUAGUC